RNAcentral lists this ribosomal RNA (174 nucleotides) under uncultured Alphaproteobacteria bacterium. RNAcentral's name for it is "partial 16S ribosomal RNA". It matches the Rfam family "Bacterial small subunit ribosomal RNA", at positions 356 to 526 of the family's 1533-position model. The record is from RNAcentral. Lineage: Bacteria; Pseudomonadati; Pseudomonadota; Alphaproteobacteria.
CUGGAUUGCGCAUGGGCGCAGCCUGAUCCAGCGAUGCCGCGUGGGUGAUGAAGGCCUUCGGGUUGUAAACCCCUUUCGACCGGGACGAAAGUGACGGUACCAAUACGAAGAAGCCCCUGACAGUUCCCUGCGAACAACCGCGGGCAUAAUACGUGCCAUCAACCGCGGUAAUAA